UGAGAUGCAGAAAGAACAAUCUCUAGUUCUGAAUUUUCUGGAAGAUGAACCAAAAAAUCCUAAAACAUUAGAUGAUGGAAGACCUUAGAAUUUCUGAAUUGUGUAUGUUUGUAGAGAGAGAAGGGUAUAAGUGAGAUUCUAAUGGGAGAAGCGGGGUUGGGUUGGGAGUUUAAAAGUAAAUAAAAUCAUGAUUAUUCUUGGACCAUGCUGAUUAAGCCAUCCUUUUGUCUGAUCGUUCUUGAAAUUUUCCAGUAGUUCAAUUAUAAUUUUGAGGACCAUAUUAUCCCAUAGCCUACCUCGUUUUUUCAUUUUUCAAAAGGUGAGACGAGUCUUGAAAUCAUCAAUAUAGCCUCCACCACUUGUUUCUUCCAUCGCCGCUAAGGGCUCUCCAUCAACUUAUCUUUAUUUUUGCUCUGCUCUUCUAGCACCUUGUGACAUUUUAUGAAUAAAUUUUCAGCAAAUGAAAACUCCAAAACUGUCUCAAGUCAAGUCAACAAAACAGCUUCAACUUCUUCCUUCCAACAAUAAACGAGACCCAACGAAAACUAGAAGAGGGAAGGAAGUAGGAAGGAGACAAUUUCAGAGUGAGCUUGUUGUGGCUGUUGCACUCAAGUUGUCAAGGAGCAUAAGAAACUAAAGGUUAUCUUUUAGAGGAAAAAAUAGAGGAGAAAAUGGGCUCAGUUAGGAAAAAAGAGAAAAAGUUAUAAGAUGAAAAUACCUUACAUUUAAUGGAGAAUUUUGAUGAAAACGAGGAAAAUGACAUUUUGCACAAUCAAAUGUGUAAUUAAGAAUGAAAAUAUCAAAACAUGAAAG
This 813-nucleotide long non-coding RNA is filed under the name Olea europaea (common olive). RNAcentral describes it as "long non-coding RNA (OEUR_LNC011014)". The record is from RNAcentral. Lineage: Eukaryota; Viridiplantae; Streptophyta; Magnoliopsida; Lamiales; Oleaceae.